AACGAACGCUGGCGGCAUGCCUAACACAUGCAAGUCGAACGAGACCUUCGGGUCUAGUGGCGCACGGGUGCGUAACGCGUGGGAACCUGCCCUUAGGUUCGGAAUAACUCCCCGAAAGGGGUGCUAAUACCGGAUAAUGUCUUCGGACCAAAGAUUGAUCGCCUUUGGAUGGGCCCGCGUUGGAUUAGCUUGUUGGUAGUGUAAAAGCCUACCAAGGCGACGAUCCAUAGCUGGUCUGAGAGGAUGAUCAGCCACACUGGGACUGAGACACGGCCCAGACUCCUACGGGAGGGAGCAGUGGGGAAUAUUGGACAAUGGGCGAGAGCCUGAUCCAGCAAUGCCGCGUGAGUGAUGAAGGCCUUAGAGUUGUAAAGCUCUUUUACCCGGGAUGAUAAUGACAGUACCGGGAGAAUAAGCUCCGGCUAACUCCGUG
This 433-nucleotide ribosomal RNA is filed under the name uncultured bacterium. RNAcentral's name for it is "partial 16S ribosomal RNA". It matches the Rfam family "Bacterial small subunit ribosomal RNA", at positions 29 to 507 of the family's 1533-position model. The record is from RNAcentral.